Molecule: ribosomal RNA, 478 nt
Filed under: uncultured bacterium
Lineage: Bacteria
Description: partial 16S ribosomal RNA
Rfam family: Bacterial small subunit ribosomal RNA
Source: RNAcentral
GACGAACGCUGGCGGCGUGCUUAACACAUGCAAGUCGAACGGUAAGGCCCUUCGGGGUACACGAGUGGCGAACGGGUGAGUAACACGUGGGUGAUCUGCCCUGCACUUCGGGAUAAGCCUGGGAAACUGGGUCUAAUACCGGAUAGGACCACUGCCUGCAUGGGUGGGGGUGGAAAGCUUGUGCGGUGUGGGAUGGGCCCGCGGCCUCUCAGCUUGUUGGUGGGGUGAUGGCCUACCAAGGCGGCGACGGGUAGCCGGCCUGUGAGGGUGUCCGGCCACACUGGGACGGAGAUACGGACCAGACUCCUACGGGAGGCAGCAGUGGGGAAUAUUGCACAAUGGGCGCAAGCCUGAUGCAGCGACGCCGCGUGGGGGAUGACGGCCUUCGGGUUGUAAACCUCUUUCAGUAGGGACGAAGCGCAAGUGACGGUACCUACAGAAGAAGCACCGGCCAACUACGUGCCAGCCGCCGCGGUAA